CGUUUGAUCAUGGCUCAGAUUGAACGCUGGCGGCAGGCCUAACACAUGCAAGUCGAGCGGUAGAGAGGUGCUUGCAUCUCUUGAGAGCGGCGGACGGGUGAGUAAUGCCUAGGAAUCUGCCUAGUGGUGGGGGGAUAACGUUCGGAAACGGACGCUAAUACCGCAUACGUCCUACGGGAGAAAGCGGGGGAUCUUCGGACCUCGCGCCAUUAGAUGAGCCUAGGUCGGAUUAGCUAGUUGGUGAGGUAAUGGCUCACCAAGGCGACGAUGGGUAGGGGUCCUGAGAGGGAGAUCCCCCACACUGGUACUGAGACACGGCCCAGACUCCUACGGGAGGCAGCAGUGGGGAAUUUUGGACAAUGGGCGCAAGCCUGAUCCAGCAAUGCCGCGUGCAGGAUGAAGGCCUUCGGGUUGUAAACUGCUUUGUACGGAACGAAACGGUGAGCUCUAAUACAGUUUGCUAAUGACGGUACCGUAAGAAUAAGCACCGGCUAACUACGUG
This 502-nucleotide ribosomal RNA is filed under the name uncultured bacterium. Its description in RNAcentral is "bacterial SSU rRNA". It matches the Rfam family "Bacterial small subunit ribosomal RNA", at positions 10 to 507 of the family's 1533-position model. The record is from RNAcentral.